This 72-nucleotide transfer RNA is filed under the name Zootermopsis nevadensis. It matches the Rfam family "tRNA". Rfam says of the family: Transfer RNA (tRNA) molecules are approximately 80 nucleotides in length. Their secondary structure includes four short double-helical elements and three loops (D, anti-codon, and T loops). The record is from Rfam by way of RNAcentral. Lineage: Eukaryota; Metazoa; Arthropoda; Insecta; Blattodea; Termopsidae.
GCCGCGGUGGUCUAGCGGUUAGAACGCUGGCCUUGUAAUCCUGGGGUCUCGGGUUCGAUUCCCGGCGGGGCA